Molecule: ribosomal RNA, 395 nt
Filed under: Pleuronema setigerum
Lineage: Eukaryota; Ciliophora; Oligohymenophorea; Pleuronematida; Pleuronematidae
Description: partial small subunit ribosomal RNA
Rfam family: Eukaryotic small subunit ribosomal RNA
Source: RNAcentral
GCUUGUCUCAAAGUUAAGCCAUGCAUGUCUAAGUAUAAAUAGUAUACAGUGAAACUGCGAAUGGCUCAUUAAAACAGUUAUAGUUUAUUUGAUAAUUGAAAAUUACAUGGAUAACCGUGGUAAUUCUAGAGCUAAUACAUGCUAUCAAGCCCGACUUCUUGAAGGGUUGUAUUUAUUAGACUUAAGCCAAUAUUCCUUGUGUCUAUUGCGAUGAUUCAUAAUAACCGAACGAAUCGCAUGGCUUUGCCGGCGAUAUAUCUUCUAAGUUUCUGACCUAUCAGCUUUCGACGGUAAGGUAUUGGCUUACCGUGGCAAUGACGGGUAACGGAGAAUUAGGGUUCGAUUCCGGAGAGGGAGCCUGAGAAACGGCUACCACAUCUAAGGAAGGCAGCAGG